Molecule: unclassified non-coding RNA, 348 nt
Filed under: soil metagenome
Description: partial contains 5.8S ribosomal RNA, internal transcribed spacer 2, and large subunit ribosomal RNA
Rfam family: 5.8S ribosomal RNA (bases 1-120)
Source: RNAcentral
GAUGAAGAACGUAGCGAAAUGCGAUAAGUAAUGUGAAUUGCAGAAUUCAGUGAAUCAUCGAAUCUUUGAACGCACAUUGCGCCCGCCAGUAUUCUGGCGGGCAUGCCUGUCCGAGCGUCAUUUCAACCCUCGAACCCCUCCGGGGGGUCGGCGUUGGGGAUCGGCACUUACCUGCCGGUCCCGAAAUACAGUGGCGGUCUCGCCGCAGCCUCUCCUGCGCAGUAGUUUGCACACUCGCACCGGGAGCGCGGCGCGUCCACGGCCGUAAAACAACCCAAACUUCUGAAAUGUUGACCUCGGAUCAGGUAGGAAUACCCGCUGAACUUAAGCAUAUCAAUAAGCGGAGGA